This is a non-coding RNA of Salmo salar (Atlantic salmon), 2941 nucleotides long. Lineage: Eukaryota; Metazoa; Chordata; Actinopteri; Salmoniformes; Salmonidae. The record is from RefSeq and is a predicted model, not a curated record.
GUACCGACUCUGAUAAUGUAUCCCGAGUGAGCCAUGUUUUGUGAAACAGAGAAUGUUACAAUCUCUGAUGUCUCUCCGGUAGGCAACCCUUGCUCGGAUUUCGUCUACCUUGUUGUCAAGAGACUGGACAUUGGCAAUUAGUUUACUCGAGAGCGGUGGGCGAUGUACCCGUCUACGGAGCCUGGCCAGAAGACCGCUCCGUCUGCCCGUUCUGCGGCGCCUUUGUAUUGGGUCGCCUGCUGGGAUCCAAUCCAUUGUCCUGGGUGGUGGACCAAACAGAGGAUACACUUCGGGAAAGUCGUAUUCCUGGUCAUAAUGUUGGCCAAGAUAGAAGUGUGGAGACACCGGAGGGAUGGUGAAAGGCCAUUUUCACAAAGCCACAGGUCUGCUAUGCCAACUUGUCAUGCUUAUAUUGAGCAAGCAUGCAGGAAUGCAUGGUGGCAUUCACAGCUAUGUCAAACUUCGAAUGCUUUGGACAGGCAAUGUAAGUGAUGGAAAUGACUUUUCACGGACUUCAUUGCAAAAUUGAAUUUUGUUGAGGAUAAAAAGGCACCUCAAAGGUUGUCUUGAAAAUGUGAAUUCAUUGAGUUAUCCUGUCAUCGGCACCACUUUUUGUCAUUGCCAUUUAAUAGCUCAAAUACCUAUGUACUUCUCUGUGUUGCAGGCACGUUAAGCUUCGGUCCAGUUAGUGUUAGAAAUACAAGGUGAGCACUUGUAGAUUCCAAUAGGUAAUGUACAUUUCAGGACUUAUACCACACAUUAUUUUUUAUGUUUGUAUGCAAAGGAUCAAGUUGCACAAUUGACAAAAAAAUAGCACAAAGGAAGAACACUUUAGGAUUCUGAUUAUAAUGCAAUCAAUACUCAAUUACCUGUGAAGUACUGUGGGACCUCUGGUGCCCUCACUGGUUCAGUGCUUCUCUAAGGUCGUCAUCCACCUCUAUGAUUUAUGGGCCCUGCUCUUGAACCUUGCUUGGAAAACAAAUUAACUGCAGUGAUGUCACAUCUUCCUGCCAGUGAUCAACAUUAAAAUGUCCUUUUUAGAAGGAGGAAAUAUACAUCACUUUUAUGGAGUACUAACAAUGAAAUCACUUUUAUCCGAUUCUUUUUAGCUUUCUAUCUAAAUUGUUGCAAGUGUAAUAAAAAGUUGGACAUAGAUGCAUUUUAAGGUGAGCAUUUGUAAUGGAAAUAUUUUAGGCUGAAAGUCUGCAUCACCUUUAAUAUGUACCCAGUGGUGUAAAGUACUUAAGUAAAAAUACUUUCAAGUACUACUUAAGUCGUUUUUUGAGGUAUCUGUAGUUUACUAUUUAUAUUUUUGUCAACUUUUACUCCACUACAUUCCUAAAGAAAAUAAUGUAUUUUCUACUCCAUACAUUUUCCCUGACACCCAAAAGCACUCAUUAUAUUUUGAAUGCUUAGCAGGACAGGAAUAUUGUCUAAUUCAUGGGCUUAAAGAGAAAAUCCCUGGUCAUUGUUUAUUGUAUGAUCAACGUUACUGUUUCCUUCAUUCUUAUCUAAAUUGAUGCUUACAGUUGUAUUUUAGCACCAUCUCCAGAGCAUAAUGUGUAUUGCAUGUUGUUGUCCCACACAAUAACCUCUGAUAUUGAAUGUGCAAUCUAGAACUUCAAUUCCCAGUAAAAAAGAAAGUGUUGCACUUGCCCAGUGACGUCUACCAACACUUUGGAAGACACAAACCGAAGCACAAGUGCACCUGUUGGUUUAAAUUUUAAAAAGUCAGAUUGUGUUUGUACCUUCUCCUUGCCACAGAGGACUCAUACGGCAAAUAGGUUACUUUAACCAAUUUUUUUUUUUUUAAGUUUACAAUAGACAUUUGCUUUAUUUAUAAACAGAUACAAGCAGCCAAAACAUUAACAGGCACUUAGUAUGCAUGACUGACAACAUCUUGAAGUGUAAAAUAUAAAAAAUGGAAGUAAAAGGAUACCAUAAAUGUUAAUGCAUAUAGAUGUAUUUUUGAACUACUCUACUACAUGCUAUGGGCACUGAAAAUAAGUUGUACAGUAAUUGUAUUAUUACAAGGCAAUUGUUUUUUUUAAAUCACUGGAUAGCUCUUGUAAGCUUUGGCAUGAUAGAUGUUGAGAAUUGUCAGACAAAAUUUGAACAAUUUUGUCUAUCUAUACACAUUUCAACACAGCAUUAAAUUUGCCGGUAUACAUCAAUAUCGUUUCCCGUACAUACAGUAGCUAGCGUGUUUUUGACACUAACAUAUUUUCUGAAACUAAGAUCAUUAUAUAAGCCUCAAUAUUAACAUUUCUUCUGUUUAGUAUGCAUCUUAAAUUCUAACAAACAUCUAAAAACAAUUCCAUCAACUUAUGAAAUGUAUGAUGUAUUAUAACACUACCAAGAAUUUGCAACAAUGAAACCAUCUUAAAUAACAACCCUGAGAGCAAUGCAUAGACAGCUAAUACAUCAGGUGAGUGGUUACGACUUAUAUUACACAUACACAAUCCUAUUGGAAAAGUUUAAAAAAAAUUACAUUUACUCAUGUUAUAAUUAGUGUGUUGUGCAAGGUAAGUUAAAGCUAAGACCUUGAAGGUGCAAAGUAUCUUUCCUGUUAAAAAACCUAGAAAUGAAAGUCUGUCACAUACGACUGUGCCAGUGUUGAAAUGACGGGUCCUAAUACUCUUGUUGUAGGUCUACAGAGAAGUUCUGUAUUCUUUCCACCAUGAAGAAGCAGAGUGUUCCAGUGAAACCCAGGAUGACCAUAAUGAGCAGUUGCCAUGUCAACAGCAAGUAGCCACUGUAGAAGAAGGCAACUGCUGCAAAAAUGGACUGGCAAAGGAAAGAAGAAAACAAAAACAUGUUGAAAGUAAAACAAAGAGUUGACUUUGUGUUACUACUCUGUCACAGUAAUGUAUGAAUUGUGUCUUAGAUUGUGAGUUCUUACAGAAUACUAAUGUAAUAAAAGAAUUGGUACAUACAGCUA